Syntrophomonas wolfei subsp. wolfei is the source of this 114-nucleotide ribosomal RNA. Lineage: Bacteria; Bacillati; Bacillota; Clostridia; Eubacteriales; Syntrophomonadaceae. The record is from Rfam.
CCUGGUGACAAUGGCGGAGAGGCCACACCCGUUCCCAUCUCGAACACGGCAGUUAAGCUCUCCAGCGCCGAUGGUACUGCGGUUAAGCCGUGGAAGAGUAGGUCGUUGCCAGGA